UCGGUUCUUCUCUUGACGGUUUUUUAAACCCGCCUCUGCGCGGCUCGAGGCAACUCGAUACCCUCGGCUCGACUCGUGCCGGCAGGACUCCGGUCCUCGAAACGCGGUCGUCACCCAUGCCAUUAGUUUCAGAAUGUAACCGCAGGCAGCAAUGCCAAUGCAAUCAAUUA
Molecule: unclassified non-coding RNA, 170 nt
Filed under: uncultured fungus
Lineage: Eukaryota; Fungi
Description: sequence contains ITS1, 5.8S rRNA gene
Source: RNAcentral